AUUUUUUGCUUCUCAGCUGCUUCAAUAUCUGCAACCCUAGACAUUGAAUCAACACGAACUCGUGCCCCAUAGAUCUUCACUUUGUCUGUGUCCAUUGCAGUAUUUGCCACCAAAAUCUUUGCAUUCUCUAUGCGCUUUGGUUGCCCAACACCUAUCUUCUUGUCAAGAAUGAAUCCUUCAUCCAAGAAAGAAUCCUUCAGUGAUCCUCCAGGCUUCUUGAUAAUUUGGAUGGCCUCUAGGUUUGUGCUACCCUUUAACCUCAAAACAGCAUCCACGGCCAGUUUGGCAAAAUGUUCCUUAUCCUGCGAUAGAAUUUUGGAACUCAAAGUGGUCAUUGCAAUCUUCAUCAAGUCCAGCUUGAAUUUUUCUUCAUUCUCUUUGUUGUCCACAACUUUUUGCAACAAAGCAUUGCGAGCACAUUCUGCUGCCAUUCGAUAACCUGCAAUUAUUGUCAUUGGGUGAAUCUUUGCUGCCACCAGCUUUUCUGCCUCCCUUAAAAGCUCCCCAGCCAAAACAACAACAGAAGUUGUUCCAUCACCAACUUCAUCAUCUUGAACUUUUGAAAUGUCAACUAGAACUUUAGCAGCUGCGUUAUCAAUAUGAAGGGACUUUAAGAUGGUGGCCCCAUCAUUUGUAACAGUAACUUCACG
This 650-nucleotide unclassified non-coding RNA is filed under the name Hevea brasiliensis (rubber tree). The record is from RNAcentral. Lineage: Eukaryota; Viridiplantae; Streptophyta; Magnoliopsida; Malpighiales; Euphorbiaceae.